RNAcentral lists this ribosomal RNA (253 nucleotides) under uncultured bacterium. Its description in RNAcentral is "partial 16S ribosomal RNA". It matches the Rfam family "Bacterial small subunit ribosomal RNA", at positions 524 to 776 of the family's 1533-position model. The record is from RNAcentral.
UACGUAGGCAGCAAGCGUUGUUCGGAAUUACUGGGCGUAAAGAGUGUGUAGGCGGUUCUCUAAGUUCCGUGUGAAAUCUCCCGGCUUAACUGGGAGGGUGCGCGGAAGACUGGAGGGCUGGAGUAUGGGAGAGGAAAGCGGAAUUCCUGGUGUAGCGGUGAAAUGCGUAGAUAUCAGGAGGAACACCUGCGGUGUAGACAGCUUUCUGGACCAUGACUGACGCUGAGGCACGAAAGCGUGGGGAGCAAACAGG